UACGGAGGGUGCAAGCGUUGUCCGGAUUUAUUGGGUUUAAAGGGUGCGUAGGCGGUCUUUUAAGUCAGUGGUGAAAUCCUCCAGCUCAACUGGAGAACUGCCAUUGAUACUGGAAGACUUGAGUAUAGUUGAGGUAGGCGGAAUUGACAGUGUAGCGGUGAAAUGCAUAGAUAUCGUCAAGAACCCCGAUUGCGAAGGCAGCUUACUAAACUAUAACUGACGCUGAGGCACGAAAGUGCGGGGAUCAAACAGG
This 253-nucleotide ribosomal RNA is filed under the name uncultured bacterium. RNAcentral's name for it is "partial 16S ribosomal RNA". It matches the Rfam family "Bacterial small subunit ribosomal RNA", at positions 524 to 776 of the family's 1533-position model. The record is from RNAcentral.